CCUACGGGUGGCAGCAGUAGGGAAUAUUGCUCAAUGGGGGAAACCCUGAAGCAGCAACGCCGCGUGGAGGAUGAAGGUUUUAGGAGUGGAAACGCCUUUUGUUAGAGAAGAGGAUGACGGUAGCUAACGAAUAAGCACCGGCGAACUCCGUGCCAGCAGCCGCGGUAAUACGGAGGGUGCAAGCGUUCCUCGGAAUCACUGGGCGUAAAGAGUGCGUAGGCGGGGUAAUAAGGAAGAUGUGAAAUCCUGUAGCUUAACUACAGAACUGCCUUUGAAACUGUUACUCUGGAGGGUGGGAGAGGUCGGUGUACUUCUUUGUGUAGCGGUCUCCUCCGU
This 336-nucleotide ribosomal RNA is filed under the name uncultured bacterium. RNAcentral's name for it is "partial 16S ribosomal RNA". It matches the Rfam family "Bacterial small subunit ribosomal RNA", at positions 338 to 691 of the family's 1533-position model. The record is from RNAcentral.